AAGAAAAUUAAAUAACAAUAACGAGGUUAUAUACAGGGUAUUACGGUACAGAGUCAAUGUGGAGGCUAUAUACAGGGUAUUACGGUACAGAGUCAAUGUGGAGGCUAUAUACAGGGUGUUACGGUACAGAGUCAAUGUGGAGGCUAUAUACAGGGUGUUACGGUACAGAGUCAAUGAGGAGGCUAUAUACAGGGUGUUACGGUACAGAGUCAAUGUGGAGGCUAUAUACAGGGGGUACUGGUACAGAGUCAAUGUGGAGGCUAUAUACAGGGUGUUACGGUACAGAGUCAAUGUGGAGACUAUAUACAGGGUGUUACAGUACAGAGUCAAUGUGGAGGCUAUAUACAGGGUGUUACGGUACAGAGUCAAUGUGGAGGCUAUAUACAGGGGGUACCGGUACAGAGUCAAUGUGGAGGCUAUAUACAGGGUGUUACGGUACAGAGUCAAUGUGGAGGCUAUAUACAGGGGGUACCGGUACAGAGUCAAUGUGGAGGCUAUAUACAGGGUGUUACGGUACAGAGUCAGUGUGGAGGCUAUAUACAGGGGGUACCGGUACAGAGUCAGUGUGGAGGCUAUAUACAGGGUGUUACGGUACAGAGUCAAUGUGGAGGCUAUAUACAGGGUGUUACGGUACAGAGUCAAUGUGGAGGCUAUAUACAGGGUGUUACGGUACAGAGUCAAUGUGGAGGCUAUAUACAGGGGGUACCGGUACAGAGUCAAUGUGGAGGCUAUAUACAGGGG
RNAcentral lists this long non-coding RNA (741 nucleotides) under Salmo salar (Atlantic salmon). RNAcentral's name for it is "lncRNA (ENSSSAG00000102147.1)". The record is from RNAcentral. Lineage: Eukaryota; Metazoa; Chordata; Actinopteri; Salmoniformes; Salmonidae.